GAAUUUAUCUGUCAAGGGGAAUACCAUGAUCAAAAAGAUGUUUUUUCCCAGGGUGAGGCUCUUCCACUGCACACUUUGGUUGGGCUGACCUCUGAUUUUCUCAAAUGUGUGAAACUCAAGGCAUAAUUUACGGUAGUGGAGGAAUGCAUUCAUGCACCUUCCU
Protopterus annectens (West African lungfish) is the source of this 163-nucleotide small nuclear RNA. RefSeq annotates it as U1 spliceosomal RNA. The record is from RefSeq and is a predicted model, not a curated record. NCBI's taxonomy places the organism in Eukaryota, Metazoa, Chordata, Ceratodontiformes, Protopteridae. The transcript has a single exon.